GUCAUCGCAGUGAACUACAGUGAGGGGAGCGACGAGCGCAGCACUCGGACUCCUCUGCCUCAGCAGCGACAGAGCCACCGUCGGUGCAACGCGAGAUCAGGCCCCCCACUUAGUGUAUUUGACAAGCUGAGUUUGACACUCUGUUUCAGUGAGUGUCAGUUUGUCAAAUACCCCAAGUGAGGUGUCACUUGUCUACAAGUCGAGGUCAUCCUGGGUUACUGCACGGAGCGAGCGACAACUCCAGGGGAUGAUCAACACAACCGAGGAACCUGAACACACACAGAGGCUAGAGAUGUUUUACAGACAAGCAGACAAAGAGCGCAGGGUGGUAACAGUAAAAGCUUGAUUACUGUAUCAUCUAUUAAUCUAAAAUAAUCGAACAAUUCCAAAACCUUUCGUAUAUUAAACAAAAACAUUUAUUUGGCAUAUAUUAUUAUGGUCAUAUAGACUAUUUUAUUCCUUAAGACUCUAAAUAUCUGUACUCCAUUAAUCAAUAAAGUCCUCACAGAGAUGCUUAUGUCAAUAUGUUUAUUUACAAUAAAGUCUGAACCCAAUGUAAAAUAUUAUUUCUCAGCCAAACCUUCCAUUUAUUGUUAUUUCCAGGUUUGCAUCAUAUGUGUAAUGCCCUCAGAAGAAUGAUGCAUCAUAGAUGUGAGCUUUGAGUGUCAUACACAAUAAAUACAGUAAAAUAAAA
Pleuronectes platessa (European plaice) is the source of this 694-nucleotide long non-coding RNA. RefSeq lists it as uncharacterized. The record is from RefSeq and is a predicted model, not a curated record. The transcript is spliced from 2 exons. Lineage: Eukaryota; Metazoa; Chordata; Actinopteri; Pleuronectiformes; Pleuronectidae.